This 253-nucleotide ribosomal RNA is filed under the name uncultured bacterium. RNAcentral's name for it is "partial 16S ribosomal RNA". It matches the Rfam family "Bacterial small subunit ribosomal RNA", at positions 524 to 776 of the family's 1533-position model. The record is from RNAcentral.
UACGUAGGGUGCGAGCGUUAAUCGGAAUUACUGGGCGUAAAGCGUGCGCAGGCGGCGCGUUAAGACAGGUGUGAAAGCCCCGAGCUUAACUUGGGAAUUGCGCUUGUGACUGGCGUGCUGGAGUGUGGCAGAAGGAGGUGGAAUUCCACGUGUAGCAGUGAAAUGCGUAGAGAUGUGGAGGAACACCGAUGGCGAAGGCAGCCUCCUGGGCCAGCACUGACGCUCAUGCACGAAAGCGUGGGGAGCAAACAGG